Molecule: transfer RNA, 74 nt
Filed under: bacterium
Lineage: Bacteria
Description: tRNA-Pro
Rfam family: tRNA
About the family: Transfer RNA (tRNA) molecules are approximately 80 nucleotides in length. Their secondary structure includes four short double-helical elements and three loops (D, anti-codon, and T loops).
Source: RNAcentral
CGGGGUGUAGUAUACCGGCAGUAUGCAUGCUUUGGGUGCAUGAGGACCGGGUUCGAUUCCCGGCACCCCGACCA